CCACUGGCUCCGAGAACGCUGGCGGCGUGCUUAACACAUGCAAGUCGAACGGAGGACUAAGWAGGAAGCUUGCGAAUCCUAGUCCUUAGUGGCGGACGGGUGAGUAACACGUGGAUAACCUGCCUGUAAGACYGGGACAACACCUGGAAACGGGURCUAAUACCGGGUAAGCUCUUUUUGCCGCAUGGUGAGAAGAGGAGAGGGGAAACCCGCUUACAGAUGGAUCCGCGGCCCAUUAGCUAGUUGGCGGUGUAACGGACCACCAAGGCGACGAUGGGUAGCCGGCCUGAGAGGGUGAUCGGCCACACUGGAACUGAGACACGGUCCAGACUCCUACGGGAGGCAGCAGUGGGGAAUCUUCCGCAAUGGGCGAAAGCCUGACGGARCAACGCCSCGUGAAUGAUGAAGGCCUUCGGGUUGUAAAAUUCUGGUCUUCAGGGAARAAAAAAAUGACGGUACCUGAGGAGGAAGCCCCGGCUAACUACGUUGCCCAGCAGCCCGCGGGUAAAUCACGUAGGGGGGGCGARGCGUUUGUCCCGGGAAAUUUACUGGGGCGUAAAGAGGCGCGUAGGGCGGGUUUUAUUUAAGUCAGAGGGUGAAAAGCUCCCCGGGCUCAAACCCGGGGGGGAACU
Molecule: ribosomal RNA, 632 nt
Filed under: uncultured bacterium
Lineage: Bacteria
Description: bacterial SSU rRNA
Rfam family: Bacterial small subunit ribosomal RNA (bases 13-533)
Source: RNAcentral